CUAAGACAACAACCGGUAUUUUCAACAACAGCUAAUCAGCUAAGACAACAACAACAGGUGUUGGAGGAGUAUGGGGUUUUGGACAGUCCAGAGAUGGAGCUGAGCCCAGAGGACCCAUCUACAGGUGGUUCAUCGCCCCUUGAUUCAUCAUCUCCCUGGCCUGGUUCAUCACCUCUCCGGCCCCUCUCCCCAACGCCCAGGCCCUUCUUACCAACACCCAACCCACAAUCCAGGCGCACCCGUGCUCUCUGCCAUGCAACUCCAUCAACCUCCACCCCAUCUCCCCGAUCCAGCUCCAAUGCCCAGAAGAGGAAGACAGCUGAGGAUCCUUUGGACACUGACAUUAUGCAGCGGGUGCAUGACUUAAAAAAAACGGCAGCAGGAGUUACAGAAACAGCAGCAGUGUCCAGCAAAGGCCGUCUACGAUGUCAUGGUACCAUGGAUGAUGUCUAUUCCUGCUGAUCAACGUCUCCCGUUUGUCUCACCCCUAAACCUGUUGUGUGCUUUUUUUCUUAUUCAUACGUUAUGGUGGCGAGUAACUUACUUGGGGGGGUUGCAUGUUUUUUGUACUUAUUUCCUCAUUCAUAUGUUACUGGUUUUUACUUAGUUUUUUCUCUUAUUUUCGACUUUCAUCACACUUUUCACCUGUGUAUUGCAUUGUACUAUUUUCCUCUUGUGAUAGUAAAUAAAUAUCUAAAAGGAC
This 703-nucleotide long non-coding RNA is filed under the name Salmo salar (Atlantic salmon). Its description in RNAcentral is "lncRNA (ENSSSAG00000078287.2)". Lineage: Eukaryota; Metazoa; Chordata; Actinopteri; Salmoniformes; Salmonidae. The record is from RNAcentral.